AUGUUUUCUGUAGCUCUGCUGCUGCUGUUGGCAGCUGGAUGUGUGAAGUGUGAACAGUUGACACAGCCAGCCUCUGUGACUGUGCAGCCAGGUCAACAUCUGACCAUCACCUGUCAGGUCUCUUAUUCUGUCAGCAGCUACAGCACAGCUUGGAUCAGACAGUCUGCAGGGAAAGGACUGGAGUGGAUUGGAAGGAAAUAUACUGGAGGUUCAGACUACAAAGAUUCACUGAAGAACAAAUUCAGUAUUGAUUUAGACUCAUCCAGCAAAACAGUGACUCUGAAUGGACAGAAUGUGCAGCCUGAAGACUCUGCUGUGUAUUUCUGUGCCAGACAGACACAGUGAGAGACAACAAGAGGAAACUCAUGCAAAAACUAGUUCCUCUAUUUACACCACUGGGAACA
Non-coding RNA from Scatophagus argus, 404 nucleotides. The record is from the annotation of a RefSeq genome assembly. NCBI's taxonomy places the organism in Eukaryota, Metazoa, Chordata, Actinopteri, Scatophagidae.